CCUGGAGCAAGCACAUCUGCCACUGUUUGGGGAGAGAGAACCUGUGGUAUGUUGUAUACCAAGUGAAACACAAAGUCUUUGGGAUAACGCAGUUUGUUUGGGGUGAUCGAUACAGACUGGGGCACUUCAGCAAAGAAUGGCUCUGCGUGCAGCCUGCAGUGGUAAGUGGCGCAGCGCUGAACACCACUGGACUCCUGGUUUGAAGUUUGAUAUUCUAUACGUGGCUCAGUUUUCGCCAUUUGUGCAAUUUGUUUUUCUU
This is a long non-coding RNA of Hypanus sabinus (Atlantic stingray), 259 nucleotides long. RefSeq lists it as uncharacterized. Lineage: Eukaryota; Metazoa; Chordata; Chondrichthyes; Myliobatiformes; Dasyatidae. The record is from RefSeq and is a predicted model, not a curated record. The transcript is spliced from 3 exons.